RNAcentral lists this ribosomal RNA (433 nucleotides) under uncultured bacterium. RNAcentral describes it as "partial 16S ribosomal RNA". It matches the Rfam family "Bacterial small subunit ribosomal RNA", at positions 29 to 507 of the family's 1533-position model. The record is from RNAcentral.
AACGAACGCUGGCGGCAGGCUUAACACAUGCAAGUCGAGCGAGACCUUCGGGUCUAGCGGCGGAUGGGUGAGUCACGCGUGGGAACGUGCCCUUCUCUACGGCAUAGCCACGGGACACUGGGAGUAAUACCGUACACGACCUAUGGGGGAAAGAUUUAUCGGAGUAGGAUCGGCCCGCGUUGGAUUAGGUAGUUGGUGGGGUAAUGGCCCACCAAGCGGUCGAUUCAUAGCUGGUUUGAGAGGAUGGUUAGCCACACUGAGACUGAGACACGGCCCAGACUCCUACGCGAGGCAGCAGUGGGGAAUCGUAGACAAUGGGGGCAACCCUGAUCGAGCCAUGCCGCGUGAGUGAUGAAGGCCUUAGGGUUGUAAAGCUCUUUCAGCUGGGAAGAUAAUGACGGUACCAGCAGAAGAAGCCCCGGCUAACUCCGUG